AGUUGUGGCAAUCUUGGAAUCAGGACUGCAGGCAGGAUAGUGCAGCCAUAAGCCUGUCAGGAAGUCUGGAGAAACCGAGAUGCCAGGACAAUGUUCCUUUGGAAAAGUUUAUCCUACUGUCCACGGGACUGGACUGUGGAGGACCCACUGCCUACAACUGAGGGAACACGAUUGGAAGGGGCUGGAGCCAUUGGCAGAGCUAGAUCCUUGGAAUCUCUUAAGGGCACUGGAGAAGCUCAGGAACAGCAAGUGGAAUGCAGCUGGCCUUCUGGACACUGAGGGCCAGGAGAGGUGGCUGGCUGCAGCUUGCUGAGCAUCUUGGCAUCUUGGCGUGGUGGCAGCUAUUGUCCAGUUUAGUGGCGUUUCCCUUGAAUACCAUACUGGAGGAAGCCUAGUAACCUAGUUCAGGUGAGGUGUCUUCUCUGAGCUCUCUCGGAGUUUAAGCUGAUUUUUCCUCAUUUACCUUCCAAACACUAUCCACUUAGAAGCCUCUAAUCUUCUUCAGAAACCUUGUGGCAGAGGAUCAUGAACUCCCCCUGGCACAGGCCAGGAGGGAGAAAUCCUAUAUCUUUUCCCUCUCUCUUCUCCUUGAAUUCUUCCCUCUAUAUUGACUAAACCACCAUAGAUUUCCAAACUGACUUGGAUAUUUUAUUUGGGAUAUUCCCUGGGGACCAAAAAUCAAACUUGGAUUAGGUCACAACCCUAAAUUAUCCUUACAUUCGUCUCUUCCCUGACUUCUCCUUGAAUUUGUGCCCAAGCUGGACCAAUUCUGAAGGACUCGGGACAGAGGAUGCUCUCCCCCUCCAGAAAGGGAAUGCAGACGAGGCAGACGUUUGACGAGAUUCCUCAUUUACAGAAGUGAACAAUCUGGGAAUAUACCCAGCUCCAAGGGCCUGCCAGCCCGCGGAGGGGGAUGGGAAGGAAAGGGAGAUAAGGGCCAUCAGAGAACUUCGGAGAACUGGUGGCGAAACUUGGCAUUUCAUUAAAAAAGAUCCUCUUUCAAGUGAGUGGUGUGAUUCUGGCCCCUAGAUCUUGAUCCAAAGGGCGGUGGGGUACCAGGGUAGAGGGGGGCACUGCUAUAGGGGCUAGGGAGUAAGCUCCAUGGAUUGUAUGGAGUGCGGGCACCAUCUGGUGAGUAGGGAGGAGUAUCUCCUCCAUUGCUGGGAAGCGUCGCCCUCCCUGCAC
RNAcentral lists this long non-coding RNA (1185 nucleotides) under Monodelphis domestica (gray short-tailed opossum). Its description in RNAcentral is "lncRNA (ENSMODG00000045125.1)". The record is from RNAcentral. Lineage: Eukaryota; Metazoa; Chordata; Mammalia; Didelphimorphia; Didelphidae.